Molecule: ribosomal RNA, 460 nt
Filed under: uncultured bacterium
Lineage: Bacteria
Description: partial 16S ribosomal RNA
Rfam family: Bacterial small subunit ribosomal RNA
Source: RNAcentral
CCUACGGGAGGCAGCAGUGAGGAAUGUUGGUCAAUGGGCGGAAGCCUGAACCAGCCAAGUAGCGUGCAGGAUGACGGCCCUACGGGUUGUAAACUGCUUUUAUACGGGAAUAACGCGCCUUACGUGUAGGGCUUUGCAUGUACCGUAUGAAUAAGGACCGGCUAAUUCCGUGCCAGCAGCCGCGGUAAUACGGAAGGUCCGGGCGUUAUCCGGAUUUAUUGGGUGUAAAGGGAGCGUAGGCCGCAUGUCAAGCGUGCUGUGAAAUGUCCGGGCUCAACCCGGGCCUUGCAGCGCGAACUGGGGUGCUUGAGUCCGCGGAAAGCAGGCGGAAUUCGUCGUGUAGCGGUGAAAUGCUUAGAUAUGACGAAGAACCCCGAUUGCGAAGGCAGCUUGCUGCAGCGGAACUGACGCUGAUGCUCGAAAGCGCGGGUAUCGAACAGGAUUAGAUACCCGGGUAGUC